This is a non-coding RNA of Oryza nivara, 203 nucleotides long. The record is from Rfam. Lineage: Eukaryota; Viridiplantae; Streptophyta; Magnoliopsida; Poales; Poaceae.
UUUAAAUGCAGUUGUAGAUUUAUGUGUUCAAUGUUUGACCGUCCGUCUUAUUUAAUUUUUUAUGAUUAGUAUUUUUAUUGUCAUUAGAUAAUAAAAUAUGAAUAUUAUUUUAAACGUGACUUAUUUUUUAAAAUUUUUUAUAAAUUUUUUAAAUAAGACGGAUGGUUAAACGUUGGAUACGAAAAUCUACGACUACACUUAAA